AUGGAUAAUUCUCAACAACAAUAUCUAUAUUACUGUAUGUGGAAGCAACGCACACUACUUGUCCUUUUUGUAAUGUUGGUCCUUUGGUGGAGCAAGAAAAAAGAGAGGAAGAAUAGAGCUAAACGUGUCAAGUAUGGUCCACUUGUCAAGAGAGAUAUUUGGAGGAGUACUGAACUAAUUAGACUGAUCCACACCUCGGAAAGGACGUGUUUGCGCCAGCUCAGGAUGUAUCCGGCCGUUUUCUACAAGCUGUGUGCUCACCUUAGGGACAAAAAGCUUUUGGCUGACACAAUUCAUGUGUCCGUAGAGGAGCAGCUAGCUAUGUUUCUGAAAAUUGUUGGGCAAUAUCACACUCAUUCCUCUGUAGGAUUUGCAUUGUGGCGAUCUGAAGAGACAGUGAGUAGGUAUUUUAACAUCGUCCUAUGUGCCCUUGUGAAGUUAGCCCGUGAAAUAAUCUGCACUCGGUCUACAGAUACACAUGCUAAGAUCACUACCAACCCAAACAAAUUUUAUCCCUACUUUGAGGUAACUCUAACCAGUGUGUUAUACUAG
This 552-nucleotide ribosomal RNA is filed under the name Triticum aestivum (bread wheat). RNAcentral describes it as "partial small subunit ribosomal RNA". The record is from RNAcentral. Lineage: Eukaryota; Viridiplantae; Streptophyta; Magnoliopsida; Poales; Poaceae.